This is a long non-coding RNA of Aegilops tauschii subsp. strangulata, 2280 nucleotides long. RefSeq lists it as uncharacterized. The record is from RefSeq and is a predicted model, not a curated record. NCBI's taxonomy places the organism in Eukaryota, Viridiplantae, Streptophyta, Magnoliopsida, Poales, Poaceae.
GAUCACCACCCCCCACCCCAGAUCCCGACCGGCUAUGGCCUUCGACUCGCCGACCUCCUCCCCGGCGGCCACACCGCGCGUUUCAGCGCACCGACAGGGCGCCCAGGGGCGAGCCGCCGCGGCGCGUGGGCGGGCUGAGCCGGGCGUUCGCGGACGGGCGGCAGGUGGCGUCGUCGGCGCCGUCGAGGUGCCCGCGUGGCCGAGCCGGUUCGCCGACCUGGAGCUUCCGCCACGACUGUCGCGUGCUGCGUAGCAACGUCCGCCGUUGUCGCCGGCGCUCCAAUGAAGCGCGCCCGGGGCUGCAAUGGAGCGUCGUCCGGGUCGUUGGAGCUCCGCCGCGGCUGCAAUGGGGCCUCGUCCGGGUCGUUGGAGCUCCGCCGCGGCUGCAAUGGAGCUUCAUCGGAGCUGCAAUGAAGCCCUCGUCGUGGCCACCGGUGCUCCAAUGAAGCCACCGGCGCUGCUGCCAUGGAGGGCGGCAGAGCUGCAUCGCAGCAGGCGAUGCUCCAAUGAAACUUCACCGGUGCUCCAAUGAAGCUUCGCCGGUGCGUCAAUGAAGCUUCGCCGGAGCUCGUCGGUGUUGCAUCCAAGUUUUUUCGUCACACUCGGUGGUGCUAUGAAGCAGCACCUGGUGACUCCCGGUGGUGCGAUGCAGCGGUUGCCGACGACUCUUGGAGCUGCGAUGCAGUAGCUGCCGGCGGCUCCGGUGACGUGCGGUCGCCGACGCGGGCUGCCGGGGGAGCGUCGUUGCUGCUCUGGAGCUCCGUUGGGUUGCAAUGGAGCUCACCGGAGGCCGUCAGUGCUGGCAUUGAAGCUUCGCCGGAGUGUCGUUGCUGCGCUGGAGCUCCAUCGGGUUGCAAUGGAGCUCAUCCACGAACAACUGCAAGUCAUGCUGCGACGACAGGUCCGACGAUGGUCUGAGCGAUGUGCUGCCAUGGAGCGUCACUUGGGGCGUCAUUGCUGGGAUGGAGCUUGGCAGCACCGCGCAGUGCUGCCAUGGAGCUUCAAUGAAGCAUCUCUGGACCGUGGUGCUGUGACGGAGCUUUGCUGCACCGUGCAGUGCUGCCCCGGAGCAUUGCCGGGGGGCUGGCUAUCUGUGCUUCCAUGGAACUGCAAUGGAUCAUCGGCGAUGGAUUGGUGUCGCGCUGCAGAGGCGACGGAUUCAAAUUCCAUAGCGUUGCGCUUGUGGUCCUUUUUGUCAAAUCAGACGGCUGCGCAGAGUUUAAUCCAACGGCGGGAGAGGCGGUUUACAAUUGGCUCCUGUCAUCCGGAUGACGCCUAGUACUCGCCAUACAGAAAGGACACUAGUCCCUCGAUGGAAUCCCCAAAUCAGAUCGGAUCGUGGCGCUGCUACGACAGAUUGCCGGCCAACAGUCCUUCCCACGGGACCUGCUCCGUUCUGUGCGUUGUUGCCUGCCGUGUUCGACGGCAUGGGCUGGGGCGCUGCGCUUCUGCAGAUCAUCAUUCCAAUUGUGCGUCUGAUUUGCUGCCUCCCAUCAAUGACCACGGCUCUGUGAUCUUCCAUGUUCUUUCCUGGCGCACACUGUGGGUCUACCCUGCUAUCUACCGGCUCCUCAUACAACAGGGAUGGAGAAACUAAGAGCCUUUGUGGAGACAAUCGCAUCAGCUCAGCUACGGCCAACGUUUCUCCUCUCUAUGUUUCUUUGCACGCCUCAUCUAGCGAUCCUGACUCGGGCGGCAUUUGCUCUCACCGGUAGCGCGGGGCGCUCUCGAUGGCGUCGCAUGUGUUGGAAUUGACGCCCUUGUGGCUGCCAGUUUCUGGUCGCGACGCACGAGUAUCUGUACAUGCUGGGCGGGAUCAACGAGGAGCCAGACCGCCCCAUCCAUGUUAGCGCCAGGGCCGACGUGCGGCUUCAAGUGCCCGUUGAAAUUUGAUCUUGGCAGAUUCCUUCUAGAGUUGUGAUCCUGGAGGCCAGCGGAGUGCAUGGGACGAACAUGGAGUGACCAGCAGCGACAACUUUGCUUGGGCAGAUGGAUUCCGCUGCGGCGGAGUUAGAGAUACGAAUGGGAGAAUAUGUAGCUAUGAUGACUCAACAAGAUCGUGGCAUGGGGCAAUGGAUGGCCGCAGUCAAAGUCCAACGAACUCCUCCUGUACGAUGUGAGACAUCGGGAUCCAGAUAACCUCUGCGAGCAACGAAUCCAGGCUGGAGAAGCGCCAGCGACGCGGCUGGUUUAGUCUAGACCAACGCAUGUUCACAGGUUCAUUUCCUGUUUUUUUAAUAAGUAGUUCACGAAUCAAAUCCUUUUCUGAGACCAGACUCA